This 468-nucleotide ribosomal RNA is filed under the name uncultured bacterium. RNAcentral describes it as "partial 16S ribosomal RNA". It matches the Rfam family "Bacterial small subunit ribosomal RNA", at positions 28 to 507 of the family's 1533-position model. The record is from RNAcentral.
GACGAACGCUGGCGGCGCGCCUAACACAUGCAAGUCGAACGGAGCUGAGAGAAGCUUGCUUUUCUUAGCUUAGUGGCGAACGGGUGAGUAACGCGUGAGUAACCUGCCCUGGAGUGGGGGACAACAGGUGGAAACGACUGCUAAUACCGCAUAAGCCCACGAUCCGGCAUCGGGUUGAGGGAAAAGGAUUUAUUCGCUUCAGGAUGGACUCGCGUCCAAUUAGCUAGUUGGUGAGGUAACGGCCCACCAAGGCGACGAUUGGUAGCCGGACUGAGAGGUUGAACGGCCACAUUGGGACUGAGACACGGCCCAGACUCCUACGGGAGGCAGCAGUGGGGGAUAUUGCACAAUGGGGGAAACCCUGAUGCAGCGACGCCGCGUGGAGGAAGAAGGUUUUCGGAUUGUAAACUCCUGUCGUUAGGGACGAUAAUGACGGUACCUAACAAGAAAGCACCGGCUAACUACGUG